UAACUUUUGGUGCUUGCACCGAAAGACGAGUGGCGAACGGGUGCGUAACGCGUAUGCAAUCUGCCUUUUACUAGGGUAUAGCCCAGAGAAAUUUGGAUUAAUCCCCUAUAAUAUCAUUUAAUCGCAUGAUUUUAUGAUUAAAGCUUCGGCGGUAAAAGAUGAGCAUGCGUCCUAUUAGUUAGUAGGUGAGGUAACGGCUCACCUAGACUCCGAUAGGUAGGGGUCCUGAGAGGGAGAUCCCCCACACUGGUACUGAGACACGGACCAGACUCCUACGGGAGGCAGCAGUGAGGAAUAUUGGACAAUGGACGAAAGUCUGAUCCAGCUAUGCCGCGUGCAGGAUGACGGCCCUAUGGGUUGUAAACUGCUUUUAUACAGGAAGAAAAACUCCGACGUGUCGGAACUUGACGGUACUGUAAGAAUAAGGAUCGGCUAACUCCGUGCCAGCAGCCGCGGUAAUACGGAGGAUCCAAGCGUUAUCCGGAAUCAUUGGGUUUAAAGGGUCCGUAGGCGGUUUUUUAAGUCAGAGGUGAAAUCCUGCAGCUCAACUGUAGAAUUGCCUUUGAUACUGAAAGACUUGAGUUAUUGUGAAGUGGUUAGAAUGUGUGGUGUAGCGGUGAAAUGCAUAGAUAUCACACAGAAUACCAAUUGCGAAGGCAGAUCACUAACAAUAUACUGACGCUCAGGGACGAAAGCGUGGGUAGCGAACAGGAUUAGAUACCCUGGUAGUCCACGCCGUAAACGAUGGAUACUAGCUGUAUGUCUACUUCAGGUAGAUGUGUGGCUAAGCGAAAGUGAUAAGUAUCCCACCUGGGGAGUACGAUCGC
Molecule: ribosomal RNA, 827 nt
Filed under: uncultured Bacteroidota bacterium
Lineage: Bacteria; Pseudomonadati; Bacteroidota
Description: bacterial SSU rRNA
Rfam family: Bacterial small subunit ribosomal RNA
Source: RNAcentral